AAAUUGAAGAGUUUGAUCAUGGCUCAGAUUGAACGCUGGCGGCAGGCCUAACACAUGCAAGUCGAACGGUAGCACAGAGAGCUUGCUCUCGGGUGACGAGUGGCGGACGGGUGAGUAAUGUCUGGGAAACUGCCUGAUGGAGGGGGAUAACUACUGGAAACGGUAGCUAAUACCGCAUAACGUCGCAAGACCAAAGAGGGGGACCUUCGGGCCUCUUGCCAUCAGAUGUGCCCAGAUGGGAUUAGCUAGUAGGUGGGGUAACGGCUCACCUAGGCGACGAUCCCUAGCUGGUCUGAGAGGAUGACCAGCCACACUGGAACUGAGACACGGUCCAGACUCCUACGGGAGGCAGCAGUGGGGAAUAUUGCACAAUGGGCGCAAGCCUGAUGCAGCCAUGCCGCGUGUAUGAAGAAGGCCUUCGGGUUGUAAAGUACUUUCAGCGGGGAGGAAGGUGUUGYGGUUAAUAACCGCAGCAAUUGACGUUACCCGCAGAAGAAGCACCGGCUAACUCCGUGCCAGCAGCCGCGGUAAUACGGAGGGUGCAAGCGUUAAUCGGAAUUACUGGGCGUAAAGCGCACGCAGGCGGUCUGUCAAGUCGGAUGUGAAAUCCCCGGGCUCAACCUGGGAACUGCAUUCGAAACUGGCAGGCUAGAGUCUUGUAGAGGGGGGUAGAAUUCCAGGUGUAGCGGUGAAAUGCGUAGAGAUCUGGAGGAAUACCGGUGGCGAAGGCGGCCCCCUGGACAAAGACUGACGCUCAGGUGCGAAAGCGUGGGGAGCAAACAGGAUUAGAUACCCUGGUAGUCCACGCCGUAAACGAUGUCGACUUGGAGGUUGUGCCCUUGAGGYGUGGCUUCCGGAGCUAACGCGUUAAGUCGACCGCCUGGGGAGUACGGCCGCAAGGUUAAAACUCAAAUGAAUUGACGGGGGCCCGCACAAGCGGUGGAGCAUGUGGUUGCGUCGUAGUCCGGAUUGGAGUCUGCAACUCGACUCCAUGAAGUCGGAAUCGCUAGUAAUCGUAGAUCAGAAUGCUACGGUGAAUACGUUCCCGGGCCUUGUACACACCGCCCGUCACACCAUGGGAGUGGGUUGCAAAAGAAGUAGGUAGCUUAACCUUCGGGAGGGCGCUUACCACUUUGUGAUUCAUGACUGGGGUGAAGUCGUAACAAGGUAACCGUAGGGGAACCUGCGGUUGGAUCACCUCCUUA
RNAcentral lists this ribosomal RNA (1205 nucleotides) under Enterobacter ludwigii. RNAcentral describes it as "bacterial SSU rRNA". The record is from RNAcentral. Lineage: Bacteria; Pseudomonadati; Pseudomonadota; Gammaproteobacteria; Enterobacterales; Enterobacteriaceae.